GAUGAAGAACGCAGCGAAAUGCGAUAAGUAGUGUGAAUUGCAGAAUUCAGUGAAUCAUCGAAUCUUUGAACGCACAUUGCGCCCCUUGGUAUCCCGAGGGGCAUGCCUGUUCGAGCGUCAUUUCACCACUCAAGCCUGGCUUGGUGUUGGGCGACGUCCCCUUUGGGGACGCGCCUCGAAACGCUCGGCGGCGUGGCACCGGCUUUAAGCGUAGCAGAAUCUUUCGCUUUGGAAGUCGGGGCCCCGUCUGCCGGAAGACCUACUCGCAAGGUUGACCUCGGAUCAGGCAGGGAUACCCGCUGAACUUAAGCAUAUCAAUAAGCGGAGAA
Molecule: unclassified non-coding RNA, 329 nt
Filed under: soil metagenome
Description: partial contains 5.8S ribosomal RNA, internal transcribed spacer 2, and large subunit ribosomal RNA
Rfam family: 5.8S ribosomal RNA (bases 1-120)
Source: RNAcentral